Molecule: ribosomal RNA, 495 nt
Filed under: uncultured bacterium
Lineage: Bacteria
Description: partial 16S ribosomal RNA
Rfam family: Bacterial small subunit ribosomal RNA
Source: RNAcentral
GAUGAACGCUGGCGGCGUGCCUAAUACAUGCAAGUCGAGCGAACAGACGAGGAGCUUGCUCCUCUGACGUUAGCGGCGGACGGGUGAGUAACACGUGGAUAACCUACCUAUAAGACUGGGAUAACUUCGGGAAACCGGAGCUAAUACCGGAUAAUAUAUUGAACCGCAUGGUUCAAUAGUGAAAGACGGUUUUGCUGUCACUUAUAGAUGGAUCCGCGCCGCAUUAGCUAGUUGGUAAGGUAACGGCUUACCAAGGCAACGAUGCGUAGCCGACCUGAGAGGGUGAUCGGCCACACUGGAACUGAGACACGGUCCAGACUCCUACGGGAGGCAGCAGUAGGGAAUCUUCCGCAAUGGGCGAAAGCCUGACGGAGCAACGCCGCGUGAGUGAUGAAGGUCUUCGGAUCGUAAAACUCUGUUAUUAGGGAAGAACAAAUGUGUAAGUAACUAUGCACGUCUUGACGGUACCUAAUCAGAAAGCCACGGCUGACUACG